This 459-nucleotide ribosomal RNA is filed under the name uncultured Thauera sp. RNAcentral describes it as "bacterial SSU rRNA". It matches the Rfam family "Bacterial small subunit ribosomal RNA", at positions 921 to 1382 of the family's 1533-position model. The record is from RNAcentral. Lineage: Bacteria; Pseudomonadati; Pseudomonadota; Betaproteobacteria; Rhodocyclales; Zoogloeaceae.
CCGACAAGCGGUGGAUGAUGUGGAUUAAUUCGAUGCAACGCGAAAACCUUACCUACCCUUGACAUGUCUGGAACCUUGGUGAGAGCCGAGGGUGCCUUCGGGAGCCAGAACACAGGUGCUGCAUGGCUGUCGUCAGCUCGUGUCGUGAGAUGUUGGGUUAAGUCCCGCAACGAGCGCAACCCUUGUCACUAGUUGCCAUCAUUUAGUUGGGCACUCUAGUGAGACUGCCGGUGACAAACCGGAGGAAGGUGGGGAUGACGUCAAAUCAUCAUGCCCCUUAUGUCUUGGGCUUCACGCAUGCUACAAUGGCCGGUACAAGGGCAGCUACUUCGCGAGAAGAUGCUAAUCUCGAAAGCCGGUCUCAGUUCGGAUCGAAGUCUGCAACCCGACUUCGUGAAGCUGGAUUCGCUAGUAAUCGCGCAUCAGCCAUGGCCGCGGUCGAAUACGUUCCCGGGCCUU